This 379-nucleotide transfer-messenger RNA is filed under the name pig gut metagenome. It matches the Rfam family "transfer-messenger RNA". Rfam says of the family: Bacterial tmRNA, also known as 10Sa RNA or SsrA, is named for its dual tRNA and mRNA-like properties. Its role is to liberate the mRNA from a stalled ribosome. The record is from RNAcentral.
GGGGCUGACAUGGUUUCGACGGGAAUAUUAGAGCAUAGAUGGCAAGUCGAAUGUCCACGUUACGGACACAAAAAAAUAAAUGCAAAAAAUUUAAAAAAUGCAGUUAGCAACUUAUUUGGCGGACGUCAAGCAGUUGCUUUUGCCUAAUAAUAAUAUAAGGCCUGCGCUUUCUUAAAUCUUUAUCUACGUGAUUUUUGAAGGCUCAUUUUAGUAGAUUAUAGCUAUUCUUAGUUCGGAGAAUAGAAAGAAUUUAGAACUCGUAUAUUGUCUUGGUCGUUAAUUACUUGGAUGGUAUAUUAAAAUAAUUAGUUAACUAAGCUUGUAGAGGUUUAUGUAGCUUUAUUUUCGGACAGGAGUUCGAUUCUCCUCAGCUCCACCA